UAGGGAAUUUUUCGCAAUGGACGAAAGUCUGACGGAGCAAUGCCGCGUGAACGAUGAAGGUCUUCGGAUCGUAAAGUUCUGUUGUAAGGGAAGAACACCAAGGAUAGGAAAUGAUCUUUGGCUGACGGUACCUACAGAAGAAGCGACGGCUAAAUAUGUGCCAGCAGCCGCGGUAAUACGAAGGUCCCAAGCGUUAUCCGGAAUUAUUGGGCGUAAAGAGCAUGUAGGCGGUUUACUAAGUUCGAUGUGAAAGCUCUAGGCCUAACCUAGAAAUUGCAUUGAAAACUGGUGAACUAGAAUACUGGAGGGGCAAGUGGAAUUCCAUGUGUAGCGGUGGAAUGCGUAGAUAUAUGGAGGAACACCAAUGGCGAAGGCAGCUUGCUGGACAGUAAUUGACGCUGAGAUGCGAAAGCGUGGGGAGCAAACA
Molecule: ribosomal RNA, 427 nt
Filed under: uncultured bacterium
Lineage: Bacteria
Description: bacterial SSU rRNA
Rfam family: Bacterial small subunit ribosomal RNA
Source: RNAcentral